GACGAACCGUGCGAACGUUGUUCGGAAUCACUGGGCUUAAAGGGCGCGUAGGCGGGCUAACAAGUCUGGGGUGAAAUGCCGCGGCUCAACCGUGGAACUGCCUCAGAUACUGUCGGCCUCGAGGAAGGUAGAGGCAGGCGGAAUUCCGGGUGUAGCGGUGGAAUGCGUAGAGAUCCGGAAGAACACCGGUGGCGAAGGCGGCCUGCUGGGCAGUAGCUGACACUGAGGCGCGACAGCGUGGGGAGCAAACAGG
RNAcentral lists this ribosomal RNA (253 nucleotides) under uncultured bacterium. Its description in RNAcentral is "partial 16S ribosomal RNA". It matches the Rfam family "Bacterial small subunit ribosomal RNA", at positions 524 to 776 of the family's 1533-position model. The record is from RNAcentral.